UCAAGCUACUAAGGGCGUGUGGGGGAUGUCUUGGCGCCAGGAGGCGAUGAAGGGCGUGGAAGACUGCGAUAAGCCCGGGGGAGCUGUCAAACGAGCGUUGAUCCCGGGAUUCCCGAAUGAGCGUGCGCUGAAUCCAUAGGCGUACGUGGCGAACGGAGGGAACUGAAACAUCUCAGUACCUCCAGGAAAGGAAAGCAACAGCGACUCCCUCAGUAGCGGCGAGCGAAAGCGGACCUAGCCCAAACCGGUGGGACUUGUCCUGCCGGGGUUGUAGGACCGGGCUGCCUUCAAUGGCGAGAAGUUACCAAAGUUUUUCUUAGCAGAACACUUCUGGAAAGGGUGACCACAGAGGGUGAUAGUCCCGUACGCGAAAGGAAAGACUCUUCUGCCCGGCACCUGAGUAGGGCCCAUCACGUGAAAGUGGGUCUGAAUCUGCGAGGCCCAUCUCGCAAGGCUAAGUACUCCCUGGCGACCGAUAGUGAACCAAGUAGGGCGACUGAAAGAUGAAAAGAACCCCGAUAAGGGGAGGGAAAUGAACCUGAAACCACAUGCCUACAAGCGGUCGGAGCCCAUCUGGAGCAGCUUCUCACUGCGCUCUUUCGGCAAGAAAGGGUGGAGUGAGAAGCUGUUCGAGGGGUGACGGCGUGCCUUUUGCAUAAUGAUCCGGCGACUUACGGUCGACAGCAAGGUUAAGCGGUUCUGCCGCGGAGCCGAAGCGAAAGCGAGUCUGAAAUGGGCGUCAAGUUGUCGGCCGUAGACGCGAAACCACGUGAUCUACCCAUGGGCAGGAUGAAGUGAGGGUAAUACCUCAUGGAGGUCCGAACCCACCAGUGUUGAAAAACUGGGGGAUGACCUGUGGGGAGGAGUAAAAGUCUAAUCAAACGUGGAGAUAGCUCGUUCUCUCCGAAAUAACUUUAGGGUUAGCGUUUUGGUAGUUGGCAACGGGGGUAGAGCGACUGAAUUCGACAGGGGGCCCACCAGGCUACCCUCCGAAACCAAACUCCGAAUACCGUUGUACCAAGCCAAGGCAGCUAGACGGCGAGGGAUAAGCUUCGUCGUCGAGAGGGGAACAACCCAGACCGCCCGCUAAGGUCCCCAAGCCAUGCUGAGUGCGAAAGGAAGUUGGAUUCCUGAGACAGCCAGGAUGUUGGCUUAGAAGCAGCCACCAUUUAAAAAGUGCGUAAUAGCUUACUGGUCGAGGAAUCCUGCGCCGAUAAUGAACGGGACUAAGUAUGGCACCGAAGCGGCGGGUGUCUUCGGACGCGGUAGGAGAGCGUUGCACGAUAGGGUGAAGGUGGACGGACGACGACCACUGGACGAAGUGCAAGUGAUAAUGCCGGAACGAGUAACGAUAAAACGGGUGAGAAUCCCGUUCGCCGUAAGCCUAAGGUUUCCUGGGGAAGGCAAAUCCGCCCAGGGUUAGUCGGACCCUAAGACGAGGCCGAAAGGCGUAGUCGAUGGACAGCAGGUUAAUAUUCCUGCACCAACCGUGGCGGUUGAAGGCGUAGUGCGCUGUGUGGAAGGGGAGCGCCCAGCUAGUGCGGCGUCCCGCAAGGGCGAGGGCAUUUACGAUCCCAAAGUCCUCGGAAGCACAGCCAAGAAAAGCUACUGCCGGACAAAACGGUUGCCCGUACUAAAACUGACACAGGUAGGCGAGAUGAAUAUUCUAAGGCGCUCGAGAGAACGCUCGUGAAGGAACUCGGCAAAUUAACCCCGUAACUUCGGGAUAAGGGGUGCCUCCUGGGGUGAAUAGCUCCGGGGGGCCGCAGUGAAAGGGGUCUGGCGACUGUUUACUAAAAACACAGGACUCUGCGAACUCGUAAGAGGAUGUAUAGAGUCUGACGCCUGCCCGGUGCCGGUAAGUUAAGGAAGAGGGUUAGCCGCAAGGCGAAGCUCGCAACCGAAGCUCCGGUAAACGGCGGCCGUAACUAUGACGGUCCUAAGGUAGAUGUGCUGCCUGCUCACAGGGCAACCUGUGAGGCAAUUCUUGGCUAUAUGCGGGAAACCCCUGAAGCCUUUUCUACGUUUUCGAUGGCGCUUUUACGCAAUCGACGUAAAAAUGAAAAGGAUUGGGCAAUCCGCAGGAAACCCUUCGUGGGGAUCCUCAGAGGCCAUACGCCAAGUAUCCGUAAACGAGCAAGAACGUGGAACUCGAUCCUCAAUGGGUGGUCGGAUUCGUUGACGGCGAAGGUUGUUUUCACGUCAACAUCCAAAAACACCCGGAAAUGUCGGCUGGAUUCCAGGUCGUACCCGAAUUCGUCGUCGUGCAACCCGAACGCGACUUGCAAAUCCUUUAUGCCUUAAAGCGUUUCUUUGGAUUUGGUGUCGUGCGUCGAUGUCACACCGACAGAUAUGCACUGCGAAUUCGGAAACUGAAAGGUCUCGAGCAUGUUUGCGACUUCUUUCUCAAGCAUUCCUUGAAGACCAGAAAACACAGCGACUUUCAAAAGUUCCGAAAAAUCGUUCUGCUCAUGCUCCAACAAAAGCAUCUUGAUCGGGAAGGAGUGUUGCGCAUCGUCGAUAUUGCCAUGCAAAUGAAGACGACGAAGGACUCAGCCCUCCAGAAGAUCAAGGCCGAAUUGGAGAGCGGAUAAAGAGAUGGUCCACGCCUGCUGGAAACAGCAGGGUUCGCGUGAGCGAAGUUCCUUGUCGGGUAAGUUCCGACCUGCAUGAAAGGCGUAACGACCGGACCACUGUCUCCACGAGCGACUCGGUGAAACUGUAGUUGUUGUGAAGAUGCAACAUACCCGCAGCUAGACGGAAAGACCCCGUGAACCUUUACUGCAGCUUAGUAUUGGGUUUAGGCCCAGCAUGCGUAGUGUAGGUGGGAGGCUAUGAACUGGGUACUCCGGUACUCAGGGAGCCGCAAGAUGAAACACCACCCUUGUUGUGCUUGAAUUCUAACCCCGUCCCGUGAAUCCGGGCGGAGGACAGUGCUAAGUGGGCAGUUUGACUGGGGCGGUCUCCUCCAAAAAAGUAACGGAGGAGCCCAAAGGUACCCUCAGCCUGGUUGGCAAUCAGGCAAAGAGCGCAAAGGUACAAGGGUGCUUGACUGCGAGACCCAUAAGUCGAGCAGAGACGAAAGUCGGGCUUAGUGAUCCGGCGGUGCUGGAUGGAAAGGCCGUCGCUCAACAGAUAAAAGGUACUCCGGGGAUAACAGGCUUAUCUCCUCUGAGCGUUCACAGCGGCGAGGAGGUUUGGCACCUCGAUGUCGGCUCAUCGCAUCCUGGGGGUGGAGAAGCUCCCAAGGGUUUGGCUGUUCGCCAAUGAAAGCGGUACGUGAGCUGGGUUUAGACCGUCGUGAGACAGGUCGGUCCCUAUCUGCUGCGGGCGCAGGAGACUUGAGAAGAUUUCUCCCUAGUACGAGAGGAUUGGGAGGGACGUACCUCUGGUGUGCCAGUUGUCGCGCUAGCGGCACCGCUGGGUAGCUACGUACGGAAAGGAUAAACGCUGAAGGCAUAUAAGCGUGAAGCCCCCUUCAAGAUUAGGUCUCCUUUUCCAUCGGAAUGAAGGCUCCUGGAAGACCACCAGGUCGAUAGGCCGGGUGUGUAAGCACAGUAAUGUGUUUAGCUAACCGGUACUAAUAGCCGA
Molecule: ribosomal RNA, 3591 nt
Filed under: Gemmatales bacterium
Lineage: Bacteria; Pseudomonadati; Planctomycetota; Planctomycetia; Gemmatales
Description: 23S ribosomal RNA
Rfam family: Bacterial large subunit ribosomal RNA
Source: RNAcentral